UUGUGAGCAGUUGUUACUCUUUUAGUUUUUAAAAAACCUUUUACAUUGUAAGUACCCAAUCCAUUCUGUCCUGACGCAGUACAGUUUUGAUGUUAAUGUUGCUGAGAUGUCCUUAAUUUUCCGAACCUUCAUCUGCAUGUAUGUCUUUGUCUCUCUUGUCUAAUAUAAGCCAGUUAAGAUGCUUGAGACGAUCUUGCUUUAUAAAGCUAAGGUUCUAGCUUUAUGCUUUUGAAAAUGUUUACAGCACUAAAUGCUAGUCAGCUUUCUUCCCCGUAGCUUGUACACUUUCUUUGAAAAUCGAUCUAUUUGAAGAAAAACAGCCCUGUUUUUCUCGUCUUUGGUGUUGGGGGUUGGGGGGAGCUGGUGGGUGAGGGAAAGGAAGACCUUUUCUUUGUGUAGAGAGACUAAAGCCGUCACAGGAAACUAGAUUAAAACUGGAAAACAAGUCCUAGCUGGUUCCAGCAAACACCAACGUUAAGUGGGGGGUAUUUUCUAUGGUGGUUGGGCGGCUGGUGCGUCUUGUGCCUUUUGUUUGAUUUGACUGUAUUUUCGCCUUUUGUCUCUUAAUGACGAUCACACCAUUGCUAUAUCCAGAGCAGUAAACAGUCCUCAGCGAAGCCGCCUUUUUGCCUACCCAACCCUGGAAAGUUUGCAGAAGUGGAAGGAGCAGAACGUGAGGGUGUAACUUACAAAAAGGUUCUGGGCCGGAGAAGGGGCGACGUUCGGGCACCCCCCGAAUGGACAAUCUUUCCUUCUGUCAACGGCAGGGGCAGGCCUAGUUUGACUCUGACAGUCCUCCCACUAAGGAAUUCCUGGUGACUGGAAGGGGGAGUGACUCAGGCCCUCAACCUCUAGCAGGUAAGGGAGCUACCUCCUGGGUGGGCAUGCCCAGUUCCUCAGUGGGCCCAGCGCGGCCCAGCCUCCGAGGAAGCUCUGAGCAGCUGGCUUGGCUCCGAGGUAUUUUUAGCUACAGAUCCAGCCCCCCUCCAUCACCACAACAGUCGAGUCCAAAUCAAACGCGCUCCAGGCAGGUGGGGCUGGGGUUCUGCCAGCCUCCUG
This 1059-nucleotide long non-coding RNA is filed under the name Homo sapiens (human). RNAcentral describes it as "long intergenic non-protein coding RNA 1089". Lineage: Eukaryota; Metazoa; Chordata; Mammalia; Primates; Hominidae. The record is from RNAcentral.